UGGGGAAUAUUGCACAAUGGGCGCAAGCCUGAUGCAGCCAUGCCGCGUGUAUGAAGAAGGCCUUCGGGUUGUAAAGUACUUUCAGUCGGGAGGAAGGUGGUAAGGUUAAUAACCUUGGCAAUUGACGUUACCGACAGAAGAAGCACCGGCUAACUCCGUGCCAGCAGCCGCGGUAAUACGGAGGGUGCAAGCGUUAAUCGGAAUUACUGGGCGUAAAGCGCACGCAGGCGGUUGAUUGAGUCAGAUGUGAAAUCCCCGGGCUUAACCCGGGAAUUGCAUCUGAUACUGGUCAGCUAGAGUCUUGUAGAGGGGGGUAGAAUUCCAUGUGUAGCGGUGAAAUGCGUAGAGAUGUGGAGGAAUACCGGUGGCGAAGGCGGCCCCCUGGGCAAAGACUGACGCUCAUGUGCGAAAGCGUGGGGAGCAAACAGG
This 429-nucleotide ribosomal RNA is filed under the name Chloroflexota bacterium. RNAcentral describes it as "Chloroflexi bacterium partial 16S ribosomal RNA". It matches the Rfam family "Bacterial small subunit ribosomal RNA", at positions 355 to 776 of the family's 1533-position model. The record is from RNAcentral. Lineage: Bacteria; Bacillati; Chloroflexota.